AGUGAACGCUGGCGGUAGGCCUAACACAUGCAAGUCGAACGGCAGCACAGUAAGAGCUUGCUCUUACGGGUGGCGAGUGGCGGACGGGUGAGGAAUACAUCGGAAUCUACUUUUUCGUGGGGGAUAACGUAGGGAAACUUACGCUAAUACCGCAUACGACCUACGGGUGAAAGCAGGGGAUCUUCGGACCUUGCGCGAUUGAAUGAGCCGAUGUCGGAUUAGCUAGUUGGCGGGGUAAAGGCCCACCAAGGCGACGAUCCGUAGCUGGUCUGAGAGGAUGAUCAGCCACACUGGAACUGAGACACGGUCCAGACUCCUACGGGAGGCAGCAGUGGGGAAUAUUGGACGAUGGGGGCAAGCCUGAUCCAGCAAUACCGCGUGGGUGAAGAAGGCCUUCGGGUUGUAAAGCCCUUUUGUUGGGAAAGAAAAGCAGCAGGUUAAUACCCCGCUGUUCUGACGGUACCCAAAGAAUAAGCACCGGCUAACUUCGUG
RNAcentral lists this ribosomal RNA (492 nucleotides) under uncultured bacterium. RNAcentral describes it as "partial 16S ribosomal RNA". It matches the Rfam family "Bacterial small subunit ribosomal RNA", at positions 29 to 507 of the family's 1533-position model. The record is from RNAcentral.